GCCCCACUGGCGCAAUGGUAGCGCGCAAGACUUCUAUUGUGAUAUCUUGAGGUUGCGAGUUCGAGCCUCGCGUGGGGUU
Molecule: non-coding RNA, 79 nt
Organism: Peziza echinospora
Lineage: Eukaryota; Fungi; Ascomycota; Pezizomycetes; Pezizales; Pezizaceae
Source: the annotation of a GenBank genome assembly